Molecule: small RNA, 82 nt
Filed under: Flavobacterium sp. 9
Lineage: Bacteria; Pseudomonadati; Bacteroidota; Flavobacteriia; Flavobacteriales; Flavobacteriaceae
Description: Flavo-1 RNA
Rfam family: Flavo-1 RNA
Source: RNAcentral
UCCUAGCCCCGAUAGAAGUGGAAAUCCUUUUAUUUUUUUUCUUUAAAAAAAUAAAAGAUUGCAACGGAUAGCGGGAUUAGCU